This is a long non-coding RNA of Mesocricetus auratus (golden hamster), 550 nucleotides long. RefSeq lists it as uncharacterized. The record is from RefSeq and is a predicted model, not a curated record. The transcript has 3 exons. Lineage: Eukaryota; Metazoa; Chordata; Mammalia; Rodentia; Cricetidae.
GUAACACAGUCUUGACACGGAAGAGGGGAAGAUGAACAGAAGGACAACAAAAACUGUGCUUUCAGAUGACGUCUCUUAAUAGGUUUCUCCAUUGAGGCAGUAAUCUUGAUGAAGCUGAAUUGAAAAAGUAAAAGAACAGGUUUAUUUCAGCAAAGCAACAAACCAGUAAGUUCUUCAGUCCCAGAGAUUGAAGUAGGAGAAGUCAUGCACUGAACUGAAGCAGGAAGUGUGAUGACCUGUCUGCCACAAGCUGUGUCUGUGCCCAAGUACGACCAAAAACUGAAAACUUAGGCAUGGACUUGGGCUGGCAUCAACAGAAUGAGCUCAUACUGAAGAUGUGCAGAGCAGUUAACAGCUAUCAGAAGCUCUAAGAUCUGGAAGUAUAUUCUACCAUGUCAACAAUGAAGGAACGGGAGUCUAGAAGAUGAUGACUUUACCUUGAAUCAUACAGCAGAGGAUACAGCCUUAUAAGGCUUAGGAUUUUCAUCAUUCUAUUUUUUACCUUUUUAAAAUUUUAUUAUUUUUUACUUUUUUGGAGUUUCAUAUAUGA